RNAcentral lists this unclassified non-coding RNA (329 nucleotides) under soil metagenome. RNAcentral describes it as "partial contains 5.8S ribosomal RNA, internal transcribed spacer 2, and large subunit ribosomal RNA". The stretch from base 1 to 120 matches the Rfam family "5.8S ribosomal RNA", at positions 35 to 154 of the family's 154-position model. The record is from RNAcentral.
GAUGAAGAACGCAGCGAAAUGCGAUAAGUAAUGUGAAUUGCAGAAUUCAGUGAAUCAUCGAAUCUUUGAACGCACAUUGCGCCCCCUGGUAUUCCGGGGGGCAUGCCUGUUCGAGCGUCAUUACAACCCUCAAGCUCAGCUUGGUGUUGGGCCCCGCCGCCCCGGCGGGCCCUAAAGUCAGUGGCGGUGCCGUCCGGCUCCGAGCGUAGUAAUUCUUCUCGCUCUGGAGGUCCGGUCGUGUGCUCGCCAGCAACCCCCAAUUUUUUUCAGGUUGACCUCGGAUCAGGUAGGGAUACCCGCUGAACUUAAGCAUAUCAAUAAGCGGAGGA